Molecule: small RNA, 177 nt
Filed under: Listeria welshimeri
Lineage: Bacteria; Bacillati; Bacillota; Bacilli; Caryophanales; Listeriaceae
Also listed under: 1 other name
Description: Listeria sRNA rli28
Rfam family: Listeria sRNA rli28
Source: RNAcentral
AAACUAAUGCUAUAAUAAUUCUUACAAGCAAUGUUUAUGGUGGUGGCUAGCCUUCUUUUUACUAAGCGAGGUGAUGCCUAUGUGUUAUAUUUUUGUUAGGCUCUCUUAGAAUGGAUAGAUAAUGACCGUUUAUGAAGCACUGUCUUUUGCACUAUUAUUAAACAGUCAAAAUAACCA